GACGAACGCUGGCGGCGUGCUUAACACAUGCAAGUCGAACGGAAAGGCCCUGCUUUUGUGGGGUUCUCGAGUGGCGAACGGGUGAGUAACACGUGAGUAACCUGCCCUUGACUUUGGGAUAACUUCAGGAAACUGGGGCUAAUACCGGAUAGGAGCUCCUGCUGCAUGGUGGGGGUGGGAAAGUUUCGGCGGUUGGGGAUGGACUCGCGGCUUAUCAGCUUGUUGGUGGGGUAGUGGCUUACCAAGGCUUUGACGGGUAGCCGGCCUGAGAGGGUGACCGGCCACAUUGGGACUGAGAUACGGCCCAGACUCCUACGGGAGGCAGCAGUGGGGAAUAUUGCACAAUGGGCGGAAGCCUGAUGCAGCAACGCCGCGUGCGGGAUGACGGCCUUCGGGUUGUAAACCGCUUUCGCCUGUGACGAGGCGUGAGUGACGGUAAUGGGUAAAGAAGCACCGGCUAACUACGUG
This 468-nucleotide ribosomal RNA is filed under the name uncultured bacterium. RNAcentral describes it as "partial 16S ribosomal RNA". It matches the Rfam family "Bacterial small subunit ribosomal RNA", at positions 28 to 507 of the family's 1533-position model. The record is from RNAcentral.